GUCUGUACUUAACCUGAAACUGUUCUUAACCUGAAGCACCACUUUAGCUAAUGGGGCCUCCGGCUGCCGCCGCACAAUUUCUGUUCUCAUCCUGAAGCAAAGUUCUUAACCCGAGGUACUAUUUCUGGGUUAGAGGAGUCUGUAACCUGAAGCGUAUGUAACCUGAAGCGUAUGUAACCCGAGGUACCACUGUAAUCCAAUUCCCUCUCUCUGUCUCUAACCCACUCUGGCUCCUAUGCCCCCCACCCACAAGAAACCAACCGAACUAACGGUCUCUCUGUUUCCAACUGUCUUCCCCAACUGUCUAAACCUUUGGCUAAGCCUUUUAAAAAGAGGUAGGCUCUGCCUCUGGGCUUUGCUAUUGGUCUCCCUAUUAAUCCUUCUCUGCCCCUGUACAGACAUUUUCAAAAGGACGGGCAAACGCCACACCCAUUCAUCCCACUCGAGGGGGAUCGGAGCCACCUGUGCAAAGAGACAGGCACAAAACAGUCCGCUUCCACCACUGAAAUGAUCUGGGAAGCCUUUGAAGCAUGGGAAAAGCCACGGAUCAGGGAUCUCAGUCACUCAGGUGAGUAAACUGGUCACUUUUGUGAAACUAAGUGGGUGCAUUGCCACUCCAUCAGAUGCAUGAAUAUUAUUAUUUUUUAAAAAAAUUCUCUUUGCAAUCCGCUUGGAGUUUUGUUUUGUUUUUUAAUCAAAUGAUGUAUACAUGUUGUGAAAUAACUAAAUAUAUGAAUAAAUAGAACAGCACACUCGGGCUUUCUCUUGGCGAAAAGGAAAGGGGCUGGUUUCAACCAGGAGGGAAACAGAACUUCCUGGGACUCUUAGCUUUCCUCUUCUUUCUUUUCUUUUUAAAAAAGCAUCAAGUUACCAGUCCCUAAGGGACUUGGGUGGCGCUGUGGUCUAAAUCACAGAGCCUAGGGCUUGCUGAUUGGAAGGUUGGCAGUUCAAAUCCCCGUGAUGGUGAAGGGACAGGAUACCCAAAUCCUGUCUGUGAAAUCACCCCAGGCCUCAAAACUGUCCAAAACUCCUUUUGUCUUCUAAAAAUCCAAAACAGCUUUUCUCUGCUCUCCUCUGCUCUAUCACAAGAUGCUGUGGCAAAAGGCAAAAUGUUACUUUUAAAGGCUAAUGAAUAGACUUUGUCAUUGCCAAGAAUACUCAGGCCUGAGAAACGAAUCUUAUCUCAUUCAGUUGCAACACUUUUGGACAUCUUGAACCAUUCUCAUUCCCCUUUCCUGGGAAGGGUGCCAAGAGUCCACAAUAGUCCCAAGACAGCUUUCUGUUCAUGCUCAGAGGAACCUCAACAUGGGGCAGGACUCCUGAGGGAGGAGAAAGGGGGAGGGAACUAGAAAGGGGUAUAUAUGCUUGUGCACAUGAUUGUGAACUCGUGCAUGCUUUUUGUGACUUAUCACACUUGCUCCUUCUACCAGUUCAUGGAUGGUAGAAAUAAAACCUUUUUCUCCGAAACUAUUCCUUGAGUGUCUGUUGACUCCCACUUCCCUUUCCCAGGCGCAAUAUUUUUCCCACCCGAGGGCAAAGCCUCAUAAGGCUACAACGGGGUGAGCUCCCGUUGCUCUGUCCCAGUUCCUGCCAACCUAGGAGUUUGAAAGCACGUCAAAGUGCAAGUAGAUAAAUAGGUACCACUCCGGCGGGAAGGUAAACGGCGUUUCCGUGCGCUGCUCUGGUUCGCCAGAACUGGCUUAGUCGUGCUGACCACAUGACCCGGAAGCCCACCUCCAUAUCUGCCUUGGCAGGUCCAGAUCCCCUUUUCAUUUCGGCUAAUUGGGGCUAAGUUAAAGCCCUCUUUGGAAAAGAUGUGGGGAAUAAGCUGCUGAGAAAUUUGGCUGUUGGAGUCAAGGUUAGUGAUGAAAUUAAUUCUUGCCGUAGAGGAGAAUCAGAAGAGGAGACGGGGAGCUGUCUAUGUUUCUAUGGUUCUGGUCUCUGUUCUGUCCUCCUCAUUAUCCUGCACAUUUUUUAUUUUAUUUUUUAAACCAAUUUUAUUAGAGUUUAUAAAGAGAAAUACAAAACUUAAUACCAAAUCUCUUUUUUUAGCCAACGUUAAUCUAAGUUUUUAUUUAUUAUUUAUUUGGUGAAUUGAUAUACCGCCCUAAACCCAGAGGUCUCAGGGCGGUUCAAUGAAAUAAAUGAAAUGAAAUAAAAACAUAGAGGAAAAGUAAAAGUAAAGAAAGAGAAAAAAAGAGAAAGGUAAGAAGAAACAGAAAAGAGCUUCAAAGAGACAAUGGGAAAGAUAAAUUAUAGAAAUUAAAAUGCUUCCGAUAUGUCCAAUCAAUAUAAACAAUAAUCACUUCUGCAUGUUCUUGAACAGGAAAGGGAGCUUUUCUCAGCCGGAGAGGGAGAUCCCUGGGACUUUUCUGCAGUCUCUUGAUCCCCCUCCUUUGCUUCAGCCUCAGAGUCUGAACUGCUCUCUGUCCCUGGCUUUCCCUGCUCACUAAACCCUGUUGCCCCUUCAGCAUCCAACACACACUUCCCACACUUCUCCCUCUGACCUCUCCUUGGUGUUCCAUCACCAAUCCCCAGGCUCUUCUGGGGUUUCCCUCGGGGGUUCCCUGGCUGGGGCCUCCCACCACUCCUGGGAGCCAGUGUGGUGUAGUGGCUAAGAGCGGUGGACUCGUAAUCUGGUGAACCAGGUUCGCUUCCCCGCUCCUCCACAUGCAGCUGCUGGGUGACCUUGGGCUAGUCACACUUCUCUGAAGUUUCUCAGCCCCACUCACCUCACAGAGUGUUUGUUGUGGGGGAGGAAGGGAAAGGAGAUUGUUAGCAGCUUUGAGACUCCUUAAGGGGAGUGAAAAGCAGGAUAUCAAGUCCAAACCUCCUCCUCCUCCUCCUCCUCCUCCUCCUCCUCCUCCUCCUCCUUCUUCUUCUCUUUGUCCAGCCAUUCCCUGACAUCUUGCACCUCCCGCUCGCUGCUAGGGAUCUACAUCCACGCACCACAGCUUUGGACCAGUGCACCCUUCAGUUCCUCAACUGGAAACAUCAGGAGGCUGCAAAUCCUAGAAUCCUAGACUCGUCAAGUUGGAAGGGACCCGAGGGUCAUCAAGUCGAACCCCCUCCAAUGCAGAAAUCUUUCGCCCAACUUAGGACUCGAACCCACAACCCUGAGAUUCAGAGUUUCGUGCUCUACCUUUGCUGGGAAAUUAAAGACUCCAUUUCGGGGGUGGGGGAGUCAGGAAGCUUGUGGAAGUGCUGUGACGUGCCCCUUGGGUGGCAUGGCAGCUGUGACCCUUGCAGCGCAGGGGCUCAGCUGCAAAUCAUGAACCUGCACAAUAAGCUUCGUUCUCCAAAUGGACUGCAGGGCCAUCUCGCAGUAGCUGCAUGGAAGAUGCGGGCAGCCCCCAGAGGAGCAGCGUUCGAAUCUCGCUGGGCGCAUUUCGCAGCAGGCAACCGGCCUUGUGCCAGCAAGCGGAGAUGUUUGGUUAUCGUGGGCAAG
Molecule: non-coding RNA, 3448 nt
Organism: Podarcis lilfordi (Lilford's wall lizard)
Lineage: Eukaryota; Metazoa; Chordata; Lepidosauria; Squamata; Lacertidae
Source: the annotation of a GenBank genome assembly